CCAUCAAGGGAUCCCCCUUCUUCUUUGUAAAUCGAAGACCUUACUAUCUCACUUCCUCUUCCUCGGCCAAGUAACGUUCUGGCUUUAAAUCAAUCACUGUAAAAACCCACUAAUCCCAUGAUUUCCUCUUCAUUGCAACUUUUGGAUUUCCUCAGUUUCUAUCUCUAUAUAUCCUUUUGUUCUCUAGCUUCUCCUCUUUACCAAAAUUAUAAAAAUCUAAGAAUCUUCGCAAGCUUCUACACUCUAAGCUGCAACAUUUCCUUACGAACAGUGGUCGCAAAGUUGAUUCUGUACAGUUCAAAGGUUCAUUCUGCGGAUCAAAAGAUCAUUUGGAUGGCUCAGCAUCGAGCACUGAAACUUCACAUGUUGCAAAAUAUGUCUAUUGAAUCAUAAUAUCCGGAGACCAGAUCCGCAAUACAGCCGUUUCUGCUAUUUAACAAUCCCAUCAUAUAAGUAGUUUGCAAAAGGACACGACUCCUCUAUCAUCUACAUGAUUGCUUGUGACUCUUCAUUACUUUGUGUAUAGUUCUCAGAGCCUCAGGUUAAAUGCUCAGCUAUUAAAAGGCUCGAUCAUUGUCCCACUUAAAUAUUAGGCUUCUUAGUUUCUUGAGGGUUUUGGCAGAAAUUUUAUAUCAAUAUGAAGAAUAUUGCAGAGACGUGUUGAGGUUCACAAAAACGUCUUACUAGGCAGAUGAGACUUUUGGCUACAUAAACAUCAGAACUCUGAGUUAAACUACCUACAUCAUAUAACAGUCUUUCUGUAAAUAAUCUAACUGACGUUCAUAUUAGCUUGAACAUAUUUGCUAAUGGGACCAGGAACUAAAGCAAACUGCAGAUGGACAAAAGAAUUAGGCCAUUCGAUGGGGUUUACUAAGUCAGUCAUAUGUAUUGCUGUUUUGCAUCAGCCUCAGAGUUGAAUUCCUUACAAUGCGGACGUUUAUAGAACAGUAACAGUUUCUUGGGAGCCCGUACACCUCCUUCUGGUUAGUGGGCGCCAACAAUACAACAUUCUUUAUAUAAUUCUGCCGUUACUCCAAACAACCAGUACUUUGAUUGGUUUUCCAGUAGUUAGUAGGAAUUUCAAAAAUAUGUUUGCACUUUCCUUUAGGCAAUAUCUGUUUCACUUAACAAGAAACUGUGUUCUCUAUCACGUUUGAAGGAACAUGAACGUGAGGGAAAAUACAUGAACUUAAGUUUCUGAAGCUAAUAGUCAGUAGUGAACAUUAUAAAUACACUUACGAAAGACCUGGAGAAUAGGAGUUCACAAAAAGCUUUAGGAGGAAGAUAUGACAUGGUUAGAGAAAGCCAAGGACUUUUGUUUGGGACUCCGAGAGGUCUACAAAACGACCCCAAAAAAGAAAUAGAAGAAUGUUAAGUUAGAGUAAGUUUCUCAUUACAAUGAAAUAUUUCUUUCAGUAGACCAAUUUGUUGACUUUUUGUUAGGGAGAUUUUAACUAAAUAUACUCUCUUUUUUACUCUGCGAGCUUCUAACUAAAUUGUCGAAAAUAUAUCAAAACUGACUAUGGUGUUAGGCUCUUGUCUUUUAUCAA
Molecule: long non-coding RNA, 1550 nt
Organism: Raphanus sativus (radish)
Lineage: Eukaryota; Viridiplantae; Streptophyta; Magnoliopsida; Brassicales; Brassicaceae
Exons: 5
Source: RefSeq, a predicted model, not a curated record